Molecule: non-coding RNA, 316 nt
Organism: Paramormyrops kingsleyae
Lineage: Eukaryota; Metazoa; Chordata; Actinopteri; Osteoglossiformes; Mormyridae
Source: RefSeq, a predicted model, not a curated record
CUACACAGUGUAGGUAGAGAAGUAGUUGGUGAUCUCUCACCUAGUUCACCUAGCGAACUGCGCCGUGUAUUCCCAAGUUAUACGAUCAAAGUCCAUCAUCUGUGCUCUAGCUCAGCUGACAGGUGUGUCCACACAGGAAGCAGAGAACUUGUUCCUUGCUGGUCCUCAGCACAGCAGAAGUGAGAUUGAAGACUUUGACCCGAGAAUAACCUGUCAAAUGAAAAAGGACGGUCUGCUGUAGGACUGUACAUUUUUGUUAUUGCUUUUCACUUUUCUAAGUGUUUUUUUUUCUCAAAAGAAAUUUUUUACUUUACAC